Molecule: long non-coding RNA, 1383 nt
Organism: Myotis myotis
Lineage: Eukaryota; Metazoa; Chordata; Mammalia; Chiroptera; Vespertilionidae
Exons: 2
Source: RefSeq, a predicted model, not a curated record
UUUUUAGCUUUAGAUGUCCAGUUAACAGGCUUGGUAACUGCUGGGUGUCAAAAACUGUUGUCCCGGGGCUGGAAUGUGUGACCGGACCCGCCCUGACCAGGAGCCCGGCCCGGCCCGCACUCCGACCUCCUGCCCUGGGAGGACGGACAGGGACCCAGCAGGGUAGCAGCCUGUGCUUCAGGGAGGGAGCUGGAGGCUCAGGAAGUCCCAGCCCCGCAGCUUCUGUCUGACUCGCUGCUUCCUCCUGAAUCCCAGGCCCCUGAGCUGCACUUCUCUUCUCCGUAUAAAAGGGUGGGCUUGGGGCGAGAUGUAAGGGGCCUCUUCAGGGCACGUAACCCGCGGCCUCAGCUCCCGGCCCUGAGUGAGGUGCCCACCGUGAUCCCAUCCUUGUCUGCUUAUGGGCUCUGGUAGCGACGGGCAGCGUGAACGCCCACUUUUCCGGUUUCCGCUUCGUCUCGUCUCUUCCCCCCAGGUGGACGGACUUACACUUUAUUUUGCUUUUGUUGGGAGCAGGGCAGGCAGGGCAAUUGGCAGCUCACAGUGAAGGUGCUGGGGUCAGACCUGCGACGAAGGGCCAGACACAUAGGCCUUCCUUGGCUCGGCCCCCUUAUCCGUGAACAGAGAUUGGGUUAACCUGCCCACAGACUUGUAGGGCGACUGCAUCCGCUACACACAGAGCCCCUGGGGCGGCGGGCACACAGCCCGGCUCCCAGAGGCCUGGCAUUCCUGUGCCCUCUGUCUCUGCUCUGUGAGCUCCUUGCCGUGGGGAUUGCAGCCCCAGGUCCCUGUACCCUUGGCUCCUCGCACAGGCCCUAGCAGAGUAGGUGCUGGGGAAGCAGCCAUGACCCUGCUGCCUGGGGUUGGAGGUGCUCUGCACAGCGCCCAGCAGCUCCUCAUCGAGGUCCCACAGUAAACAUCUCGGUUCCAGUCCUGCGGCCACCGCGUGCCUCCCCCUGAAGUCUGGCAGCAAUCAUCUCAGGAAGCGAAUUCCUCUGUACCUGGGAACCAGGACAGCACAAUUAUCCCAAGACCUGAGGGUUCCAGAUAAUGUUUCCCUGUCAACUCAGUGGUCCCCAAAACCAGGACAGCGCAAUUACUCUAAGUUGCCUCGACGGCUCUAGAUAAUUUGUUCCUGGUAACUCAGUGGUCCCAGAUAAUGUGUUCCUGUCAACUCAGUGAUCCGGAGACCCAAACUAUAACUAACAUGCUUAAUUCUGCUUCUGUAAACUGCUUUUUUUGCGAACCAGGUUCCUCAUUCCAAACCCUGGGAUGUAAUCAAUACCUUUGUGAUCUUUGCCUAUAAAUCUGGUGGUGGGCAUGGGAAGGGCACAGUGCGUGGCCCCCUCAGUCCCGGAUUGCAAUAAAUGUGACUCUUUAAUUCGG